This 321-nucleotide microRNA precursor is filed under the name Phaeodactylum tricornutum. Its description in RNAcentral is "miR5472 stem-loop (pti-MIR5472)". The record is from miRBase by way of RNAcentral. Lineage: Eukaryota; Bacillariophyta; Bacillariophyceae; Surirellales; Neidiaceae.
UUCUUGUCAUAAAAUGUUGCGCUAGUCCAAGAGCUUUAAGAUGCUUACCACCCUUCACAUCGGCGUGCCAAAUUCGAUCCCGUCGAUUGCUAGCGAAAUGAAGGAGCUCAAGCUGACGAGAGCGAUCGCACUUCCUCAGCAUCUGGAAAGCGUCACCGAUAAAUGCAAUAUUGUGUCUGGUCAUACGGGGAGUCCGUUACUAGCUCAAGAAAACCAUUUCGUCAACAGAAGACAACACUACGAUUCAAUCGCAAGCUUAAACAACGCAGGUAUUCAAUUUGCCGAGUCCUCUAGGAUGAGUGCCGCAUUACAGUGCUUCCG